RNAcentral lists this ribosomal RNA (482 nucleotides) under uncultured bacterium. Its description in RNAcentral is "partial 16S ribosomal RNA". It matches the Rfam family "Bacterial small subunit ribosomal RNA", at positions 28 to 507 of the family's 1533-position model. The record is from RNAcentral.
GAUGAACGCUAGCGGCAGGCCUAAUACAUGCAAGUCGGACGGGAUUCAGGAGCUUGCUUCUGAUGAGAGUGGCGCACGGGUGCGUAACACGUAUGUAACCUACCUUUAUCAGGGGGAUAGCCUCUCGAAAGAGAGAUUAAGCCCGCAUAAAAUCACAGCACAGCAUUGUGUAAUGAUCAAAUAUUUAUAGGAUAAAGAUGGGCAUGCGGAACAUUAGCUAGAUGGCGGGGUAACGGCCCACCAUGGCGACGAUGUUUAGGGGAUCUGAGAGGAUGGCCCCCCACACUGGUACUGAGACACGGACCAGACUCCUACGGGAGGCAGCAGUAAGGAAGAGUGGGCAAUGGGCGGAAGCCUGAACCAGCCAUGCCGCGUGCAGGAAGACGGCCCUACGGGUUGUAAACUGCUUUUAUACGGGAAUAAACCCAGAUACGUGUAUCUGGCUGAAUGUACUGGAAGAAUAAGGAUCGGCUAACUCCGUG